AGUCGAACGGAACGCGGAGAGAAGCUUGCUUCUCUCCGGCGACGAGUGGCGAACGGGUGAGUAAUACAUCGGAACGUGUCCGCUCGUGGGGGACAACCAGCCGAAAGAUUGGCUAAUACCGCAUGAGUUCUACGGAAGAAAGAGGGGGACCCGCAAGGGCCUCUCGCGAGCGGAGCGGCCGAUGACUGAUUAGCCUGUUGGUGAGGUAACGGCUCACCAAAGCAACGAUCAGUAGCUGGUCUGAGAGGACGACCAGCCACACUGGGACUGAGACACGGCCCAGACUCCUACGGGAGGCAGCAGUGGGGAAUUUUGGACAAUGGGCGCAAGCCUGAUCCAGCUAUUCCGCGUGUGGGAUGAAGGCCCUCGGGUUGUAAACCACUUUUGUAGAGAACGAAAAGACACCUUCGAAUAAAGGGUGUUGCUGACGGUACUCUAAGAAUAAGCACCGGCUAACUACGUGCCAGCAGCCGCGGUAAUACGUAGGGUGCGAGCGUUAAUCGGAAUUACUGGGCGUAAAGGGUGCGCAGGCGGUUGAGUAAGACAGAUGUGAAAUCCCCGAGCUUAACUCGGGAAUGGCAUAUGUGACUGCUCGACUAGAGUGUGUCAGAGGGAGGUGGAAUUCCACGUGUAGCAGUGAAAUGCGUAGAUAUGUGGAAGAACACCGAUGGCGAAGGCAGCCUCCUGGGACAUAACUGACGCUCAGGCACGAAAGCGUGGGGAGCAAACAGGAUUAGAUACCCUGGUAGUCCACGCCGUANACGAUGGAUACNAGGUGUAGGAGGUAUCGACCCCUCCUG
RNAcentral lists this ribosomal RNA (800 nucleotides) under uncultured bacterium. RNAcentral describes it as "bacterial SSU rRNA". It matches the Rfam family "Bacterial small subunit ribosomal RNA", at positions 60 to 843 of the family's 1533-position model. The record is from RNAcentral.